UACGGAGGGGGCAAGCGUUAUUCGGAAUUAUUGGGCGUAAAGGGCGCGUAGGCGGCUAGAUGUGUCAAAGGUGAAAUCCCUCGGCUCAACUGAGGAACUGCCUUUGAAACUGUCUGGCUUGAGGCCGGGAGAGGUAAGUGGAAUUCCCAGUGUAGCGGUGAAAUGCGUAGAUAUUGGGAGGAACACCAGUGGCGAAGGCGGCUUACUGGACCGGUUCUGACGCUGAGGCGCGAAAGCGUGGGGAGCAAACGGG
RNAcentral lists this ribosomal RNA (253 nucleotides) under uncultured bacterium. RNAcentral's name for it is "partial 16S ribosomal RNA". It matches the Rfam family "Bacterial small subunit ribosomal RNA", at positions 524 to 776 of the family's 1533-position model. The record is from RNAcentral.